AUAAUCAUUAUGUAGGAGAGAUGGCCGAGUGGUUUAAGGCGUAGCAUUGGAAUUGCUAUGUAGGCUUUUGUUUACCGAG
This 79-nucleotide transfer RNA is filed under the name Aeginetia indica. RNAcentral describes it as "tRNA-Ser". Lineage: Eukaryota; Viridiplantae; Streptophyta; Magnoliopsida; Lamiales; Orobanchaceae. The record is from RNAcentral.